CGAUUUAAAAGUCCCCGGGGCCGAUUUAAAAGUCAUUACCAUUUUUAAAACUCAGAGUCGCGGAAGAUGUACCAAAUUUUUUUUUUUUUUUUUUUUUUUUUGAAAAACCUGGCCCACGUGACGUACAGACCCGCCACAAAUACAAAGUUCCUCUGUCCAUUCGGGCAGAGCCUCCUUUGUAUCUGCACGGCGUACCAACGGAUACAACAGGAUCACAAUCACAAUCUACAUUUACCAAUCAGCAACCAAUUCAUGAUAUGCAUUUCCAUACAGCUAACAAUCCUUAGAAUGAUGCAUGCCUCUAAGCACUCCUUAAGCGCUGGAUGAUGCAAUGCACAAUACAACAACCAUCCUAUUUAAAAGUGCUCCCCACACAGAAGCUUUUAUUUUUGAACUCUAAUUCAUUCAUCAUGAAAAACCAUUUGAAAACCUUUUGAAAACUGUUUCCCACACAGAAACUCUAUUUUGAAAACCGACUACCUCGAGGGGUAGAAAACCACGAUGCGUAAAUCCAUAAAUACAAAUCCGAGAACAUAAGAAUUCAAACAUCCAAAACUGAAGAUCCAUAAACCCAAUCCUCACAAUUCCACAAAUUCAAUCCAGCUCACAACAUUCAAACAUCAAGUAUGAUCAUCUAACUGAACCAUAUAAAUAUAACUAAGCUACAACAACAGAAUAGUAAGGAUAGAAAACUAAAUCGAUAACCUGGUCGGAAGCUCUAAUCGACUGCUACGAACGUACGUCACGUUGCUCCAUAACUCAUCGCAAACAGCGAACGUGCCUUAUUUCCCGACAGAAAACAAAGUAAGUGGGACGAUGAUCAGCAAUCUUGCAGUAUAUCGUUACUUCCGAUGAACGGGAUCUCGGAAGCCUGAAAAGAAAGCCCAUCAAUUAUAAGCCUAUUGCUUGGCCGGAGCAACCAUUGCCCGGCCGUGCUUCGGCAUCGGCGCGCCCGGCCCUGAGUCGGGUGAGGGGAAUGUAGAACAAGUGCUCACUCAGAUCAGCGCUGAGCGCGGGGCGACGGCGGGGCAAGAUGCUCGCAACGGUUAUGGCACGUUCCAGAGUUUGUUUGCGGCAGGCGGCGGUGCGAGGAGGAGGAGGGUUUGCAGAGGCCGCAGGGGUGCCAGGAGUGCGCAUCGGUAGCGGCGGCGCGCGGAAAGACCCGAGCUCGCUGUCGCCGAGCUUGCCAGGAUCGCCAUCGACUGCAGCGUCGGCUGCGGCGUUCGGCGACGGGCGGCUGGCGCGGGGAAUGACGGCUACCGGAAAGUACUGCGAGAGUGCCAGCUGUGGCGGCGUCCAGCAAAAAGGCGCACUUGUCGGCCUGGCUCGGUUGGGGAUACUGCAGGGUUGAGCAGCGGAGCGAGGAGCGCGGCUGUCGACGGAGCUCGCACGAGCGGCGACCCGGUGAAUGGCCGGGAGGCAUGCAGCCUCGCUGUGGCUCCUAACCGAGAAAAAAAGGGAAUAAGAAUAGGAGAGAGAAGAGAGUAGAGAGAGAGAGAAAAAGGUAUGCCGCGGUGGGCUGCCGGCCGGGCUCAGUCGCGGGCUGGGGGUUGAACACGGGGCAGGGGCAGGUGAAUGUGGCUGGGGCGCAGGUGAAACAUAGGUUAGGUUUUUCAAUUUCAAAACCCUAGAAUAACUUAUAUACAUAAGGCGUUAAUCCGCGCGAAUAAGUCUGCCAAACUCGGUAAUGUCAUCCGAAGUCCUCCAGGUAGACAAAAAGCAAGAAUAUAACCUCAGUGCGAUUCUCACGCAUGAAGGUACAUAAAUGUCGCGACUUUGCGAAAGAUACGAUUUGCCACACCGACCUCUCCCUAUUCAACGCGGAUCCUGGCAAGAUCCUCGUCCAAUUGCGAACGGAUUGCACCAGUGCGAUCAGCACGACGGAGACAACAAAGCUGCGAUUUCGUUUCGUCUUGAUCGACCACGGAUUCACGACAAAAUCCAACCUUUCUACCAAUAGAAGAAAUCACACAAAAAUACAUAUAAAACACGUAUUUUUGGAUUUUCUCGAGAUCCGUGCGUCAAACUCAAAAUCCGUCAGCGUCAUUAGUUCCAGAAUAGCUGACCCGGUCGAAACGAGCUAUUGGACUGCUAUGAACAGAGUCCGGUACGAGCCAGAAGCCAACUUCUCACCGCGGCUUCUCCGGAGAAUCGAGUUACUAUUCACUUUAAGUGAAACUUGGAAAUCGCGUAGAAUUUCCGUUUUAACUCGUUUUCGCACGAAACUUGACGAGUGCUUUUGUAAUUAAAUUACACACAAAAACAUCGUCAACUGAGAGUUUAGCUACACUGCAUAAAUCUCAGUCCUUACAUCAUCCCCUCCUUAAAGGAAGUUUCGUCCUCGAAACUUGCUCACAGGCAGGGGUGAUCCUACGCCAGAGAAUCAACACUCACCUCGGGGAACCGAACUACAACCCGACAAAGCCAGAACUUAACCAUCGGAACCCAUCGAUGGCACUCAACUCUCUUAGGUCCAAGACCUAACCUUUUGCCUAGACCAAAAAGGUCUAAGGCUGCAAGUACCAGUUGCCUUACAAUUGAACCUGCGCAACUCUCACUCGGGUACAAACAGAUCAACAUAAACCAAUGCAUGUCCGUUACUAAGUGAACAAGGUUGCCUCUCGCAACAUGCGAUCGUAACCACCAGUGAUGCCAAACACCUGUCUCUACGAGACCCUGUCGCUGCCGUCCCCAAGGGACCCUAGCGAUCGAUGUUCCUAGCAACACUAAAUGCCCGUCUCAUUGAGACUUCAACAUACCUUUCACCAAGUGACCGAACAAUGACACAAUCCAAUCCAAGGUAUCCACGAUAGACCAAAACAUAUACCUUGUACAACAACGCAAGCUGCGACAUCUGAGCCAACUACAAGGCUCACUAGAUGAUCAAAGAUAACCGUCACCUCUCAUGCAAGAGAAAAGAAAUAUCGACCCAAUCCAGAUGUUCCCCAAAGGGGUAGGAUAUCCUGUCCUAACUUUUGACAAUACGUUGUCUGCAGCCAACGUACUUAUCAAAAGAAAGGUAAGAUACCCGUGGAUCUAUUACCAACAACAAGUUGGAGACAUGACACAAAACUAAGACAACCAAUGACCCUAUAAUGCGCUAGAAUGCACGAACAAAGAUCUGACCUCACGAUUGUACAAAAGCAAGACUCAACACACACCACACUGACAAGAAACCCACAAAGGUCGAAACAUCUGCCUAGGUAACUCCACCAACAAAACCACCUGACAUAACUCAAUAGAAUACACCCUGUGCUUGCGGAUUGACCAGCAAAAACUUUCAAGUCCCGUGUUGGAGGUGGGGCAAUAACACUAGCAAUAGCAGUCUGAUGACACAUCACUAUUCAGAGCUGGUUCGCUCUCUGCCCCCACUCCUAACACCAAAACAAGCACAUGCCAUAACCUGCAACACAAGAACACGAGGUAAUAAACACAAAUCAACCCUCGAACCUAUUAGAUCGAUAACCUCGAGACUAAAUCUCAUAUACCCCGCGCUCGUACGUGCCUACGAUUUUAUGGUCAUCCUAUGGUCAACCUAACCAAUGGUUCAGUUAGAAAACUUGUAAAAGCAGUUGUAGUUGUUUCACGCUCUGAUACCAUCUUAAUCUGUCACGCCCCGGGGCCGAUUUAAAAGUCAUUACCAUUUUUAAAACUCAGAGUCGCGGAAGAUGUACCAAAUUUUUUUUUUUUUUUUUUUUUUUUUUUUUUUUUUUUUUUUGACCCGCCACAAAUACAAAGUUCCUCUGUCCAUUCGGGCAGAGCCUCCUUUGUAUCUGCACGGCGUACCAACGGAUACAACAGGAUCACAACCACAAUCUACAUUUACCAAUCAGCAACCAAUUCAUGAUAUGCAUUUCCAUACAGCUAACAAUCCUUAGAAUGAUGCAUGCCUCUAAGCACUCCUUAGGCGCUGGAUGAUGCAAUGCACAAUACAACAACCAUCCUAUUUAAAAGUGCUCCCCACACAGAAGCUUUUAUUUUUGAACUCUAAUUCAUUCAUCAUGAAAAAUCAUUUGAAAAUCUUUUGAAAACUGUUUCCCACACGGAAACUCUAUUUUGAAAACCGACUACCUCGAGGGGUAGAAAACCACGAUGCGUACAUCCAUAAAUACAAAUUCGAGAACCACAAAGUAUACAAACAUCCCAAAACUGAAGAUCCAUAAACCAAAUCCAUAAUUCCACAAAUCCACAAAUUCAACCAGCUCACAAUAUUCAAACAUCAAGUAUGAUCAUCUAACUGAACCAUAUAAACUAAUUAAGCUAUAACAACAGAAUAGUAAGGAUAAAAACUAAAUCGAUAACCUGGGUCGGAAGCUCUAUCGACCGCUACGAACGUACCUCACGUCUCGUCCCAAAACUCAUCGCCUGUAAUACCUGAAAAAUGGUGGGGGAGGUGAGAACAUGUAAACAUGUCUCCCCUCCCAGUGGGUACCGCAAGCCGAUGAAGGCGAGGAGUACUCACCGGAUCAGGAAGAGCUAAACAACAGUACGGGUCAGUAGAAAAUACAGUAGCAAUAACAAAGAAUGAAGAGACAUAUAUAUGAAAGAAAGUACAACUACCGCUACUGUAAUGUACAACUGCAAGCAUACAAGGAUAUCAAAACUAUAGUAGUAAGACAACUGUAAAGAAAGAACUAGAAGUAUAUAUACAACAACCACUACUAUAGCUAUAUGCGUCAACCGGACGAGAAGUCCAAAAGUACCCAAUCUAAACCGCCGUGUCGGUCUAAGGACCUCAGGCAAAAGCCACUAUCUGCUCACACCUGGCAUGUAACCCUAGCACAAAGACAACACCGCUGGGCUCACGGGUCGGAUGUACGACCACUUUUCCGGAAAAGAACACCCUCCUGCGGGGGAUCAACCCGCUGGUGUACGUGAAAUGCACUCGAGCUGUGGCGAUCAAUGCAGAUAUGAUCAAUAGCCAAACGUCGGCAACCAGCCGACAAUCACCGCCCCUCGGGGCAAACCGACCAAUAGGUCAUCCAACUGUAAGAAAGCACAAGAACCAACCAGUCAGGUCAACUAAGAGGGAACCACUCAACAUCCUAUCGAAGGUAUACAAGCACUGACUACUAACGUCAACUAACAUAUAUGCACGACGAACCGGCGAAUAGGUCACCAGAGUAUAACAAUAAAUCCCGAAUUACCGUCGGCCACUAGCCGACAAUCCAACCCCUCAGGGUACACCGACCUCAUAGGUCAUCGACGACAGGACUCACGAAGCUGACAGACUAGGUCACAAACAUACCAAAUAGUGGAACUGAAUAAACUAUAAUCAUCCGUCGGUGCUAGCCGACAAUCCCACCCCUUAGGGUCUACCGACCUCAAGGGUCAUCGAACGACAGAAGUCAAGAAACAGACCAGCCCAAUACAUAAUGCAACAACCGACCAACCAGGUCAACAGAUAUAAGAUAAAAGCACCGAUCAACUAGGUCACCGAAACGAAGUACGAGAACCGACCAAUCAGGUCACCGAAACAAAGUACGAGAACCGACCAAUCAGGUCACCGGUAUCACAUAUGGAUAAACUACUCUACUCCUACACAUGAUACUAAGCAUAGAAACAUAUGAGUAGAGUAUAAUAGAAACAACGGGGAUGCAAGCUCAAUAUACUAUGCGAUAGUAACAAUAGAAGAGUAAGGGUAAGAAACCGUCACCAAGCGUGCACCACUGUACCGACGUCGGAUCGAAGUACCCACCUGUACAGAUGUCGCGUCUGUCUCCUGACUGCAAAAGAAUGUCGACAGGACCUAUAGAGGGUCCACCGGGUUAGUAUCUAACCCACAACUAAUAAUCACAGUAUCCACAACCCCACAAACGAUUCCACGAAGAUCGGUUUCCCAAUAUCGAUUACCGUAACUCACCGGAAGUCCCGAAAACUACACCGGGACGCCGUCGGGACCCACUACGUGUCCCGAAACUCACCGACUCGUGUCACGAGUCACCUGCUGCCCCAAAACACUCCAA
This 5966-nucleotide long non-coding RNA is filed under the name Ananas comosus (pineapple). RNAcentral's name for it is "long non-coding RNA (ACOM_LNC010211)". Lineage: Eukaryota; Viridiplantae; Streptophyta; Magnoliopsida; Poales; Bromeliaceae. The record is from RNAcentral.